AAGGUUGACUCGGCCAAAGGCGACUGUUAGGUAAAACCGGUGACUGGGGCU
RNAcentral lists this ribosomal RNA (51 nucleotides) under uncultured bacterium. Its description in RNAcentral is "partial 16S ribosomal RNA". The record is from RNAcentral.